This 253-nucleotide ribosomal RNA is filed under the name uncultured bacterium. Its description in RNAcentral is "partial 16S ribosomal RNA". It matches the Rfam family "Bacterial small subunit ribosomal RNA", at positions 524 to 776 of the family's 1533-position model. The record is from RNAcentral.
UACAGAGGGUGCGAGCGUUAAUCGGAAUUACUGGGCGUAAAGAGCACGUAGGUGGAUAGGUGUGUUGGAUGUGAAAGCCCCGGGCUUAACCUGGGAAUGCCAUUCAAAACUGCCUAUCUAGAGUACAGUAGAGGAAAGUGGAAUUUCCGGUGUAGCGGUGGAAUGCAUAGAUAUCGGAAGGAACACCAGUGGCGAAGGCAGCCCCCUGGGAUAACACUGACGCUCAUGCACGAAAGCGUGGGGAGCGAACAGG